Molecule: ribosomal RNA, 253 nt
Filed under: uncultured bacterium
Lineage: Bacteria
Description: partial 16S ribosomal RNA
Rfam family: Bacterial small subunit ribosomal RNA
Source: RNAcentral
UACAGAGGGCUCAAGCGUUGUUCGGAUUCAUUGGGCGUAAAGGGUGCGUAGGCGGCGCGGCAAGUCGGGUGUGAAAUCUUGGAGCUUAACUCCGAAACUGCAUUCGAUACUGACGUGCUUGAGGACUGGAGAGGAGACUGGAAUUUACGGUGUAGCAGUGAAAUGCGUAGAGAUGCGGAGGAACACCGAUGGCGAAGGCAGCCCCCUGGGCUGACACUGACGCUCAGGCACGAAAGCGUGGGGAGCAAACAGG